Molecule: unclassified non-coding RNA, 345 nt
Filed under: soil metagenome
Description: partial contains 5.8S ribosomal RNA, internal transcribed spacer 2, and large subunit ribosomal RNA
Rfam family: 5.8S ribosomal RNA (bases 1-120)
Source: RNAcentral
GAUGAAGAACGCAGCGAAAUGCGGUAAGUAAUGUGAAUUGCAGAAUUCAGUGAAUCAUCGAAUCUUUGAACGCACAUUGCGCCCGCCAGUAUUCUGGCGGGCAUGCCUGUCCGAGCGUCAUUUCAACCCUCAAGCCCCCGGGCUUGGUGUUGGAGAUCGGCGAGCCCCCCGGGGCGCGCCGUCUCCCAAAUAUAGUGGCGGUCCCGCUGUAGCUUCCUCUGCGUAGUAGCACACCUCGCACUGGGAAACAGCGUGGCCACGCCGUAAAACCCCCCACUUCUGAAAGGUUGACCUCGGAUCAGGUAGGAAUACCCGCUGAACUUAAGCAUAUCAAUAAGCGGAGGA